UUACGGCCACAUCACGUGGAAACACUGAUUCUCUUACGAUCACCGAAGUUAAGCAAAGCUGAACCUGGUCGAGUACCUAGAUGGGUGACCGUCUGGAAUAUCAGGUGCUGAAA
Acanthosepion pharaonis is the source of this 113-nucleotide non-coding RNA. Lineage: Eukaryota; Metazoa; Mollusca; Cephalopoda; Sepiida; Sepiidae. The record is from the annotation of a GenBank genome assembly.